This 115-nucleotide ribosomal RNA is filed under the name Petromyzon marinus (sea lamprey). Lineage: Eukaryota; Metazoa; Chordata; Hyperoartia; Petromyzontiformes; Petromyzontidae. The record is from RNAcentral.
UUGGCCAGAUCACCCAGGAAUUUGACUAAUCUCUUCGGAUCUUGGAAACUAAGCAAGGUUGAGCUUGGACAGUGCUUGGAUGGGUGACCACCUUGAUAAAAGGUUGUGGACCUAC